CUGGAAUUGGUACUGGUCACAUGAUUUUCAAAGGCUUCCAAGUUAUUUGCCAGUUUGUAGUUGCUCAGAAGAAAGCAAGGUGUCACCACCUUCUCUUCACAUUUCCUGUGGCAGGCAUACUUGCAAACUCUGCAUGAAAUGCCUUGGCUAUCAAUUACUUCUUUGCAGAAUCCACAGAUUUUGGAUUUCUUAAAGGAUUUGUUUUUGAAAGUAUGAGACUUCAAUGCUGUUUCCCGAGGCUCGCUUCCCCGGCUCUGCAGCGGCUCCCGAGCCGGCGGGGAAAGCUCUACGGCAGAACUAAUCCUCCUCCCCCUGCGCCGCACACACUUGUUUUGUAUUUCCUACAGUCCCGCCCGCCGUGGAGAAAUUUUCACCGCCUCGUUUAGGGCUGAGGAGGCGUGGAGGAGGCGCGUCGCACUGCUCUCAGCUUGGGGGCGGGAGGGCGCGGAGUAGCCCUAGCAUGCCAGGCUCACCUGAUAUUGCUCUCUAUACGACGAGAAAUCCAUUUCCUUCCGGCUUACUUAUUUAGCGCGACCCCCCUUUGGGGCCCCGGGACAGACUGGACCCUGUCACCCAAGAGGUAUUUAGUGUGGGAGGCGGAGGGUCUUUGGGCCGAUGUGAACGCUGCAACCCGGUAAGGCCCUGCAAGGCUUUGCUGGCAGAGCCCGUGCUCUGGCAGCUUUGAGCUGAAGUGUAAGGCCUGGAGUUGCAGUCCUUAGGACGUGAACAUCCACCUUUUGGUACUGUUUAGUCAAAUACGGCUUCCAAAGGAAAGGAGUAAGCUUAGAGCUGUGGACAGAUACGUACAAAGUAGUACAGUGGUAAAGCAAAAAACACACAGGCUCUUGAGGGGUCUUCACCAUCCCAAGUGCUUCAACUCAGCAUCUCAUGUUCCAGGAUGAUCCUCCAAAUCCCAGCUUAGCUGCUGUCUAAUGCCACAGGUUCCUUAUGUGUAUGUUUGUACAAGUACAGUUCUUAAAGCAUUGGCAUGCAUGCUGUUUAAACACCAAAAAAAUACCUCUUUCUUGAGGUAGUUCAAGAAAGAUGAACUCCAAUUUUUAUAGCAUCCACCAACUGGCACCGUCCUCUACUUUGCUGGAUCACAGCUUCUAUUGCUUGCACAAUCUUAGAUGCCAUACGAAACAGCUAAAGAGCAGAGUAGUUAGGAAAUACAAGCUCUUUGCAUUUAAAAUAAAUACAUAAAUAUUCAUGGAAGCAAUGUGGAAUGUGACUAAUAGGACUGAGAUGCCUAACACAGAUCACGCUAUCAGCUGAUAAAUGUGACCUCACCUGAGGAGUGUGUGCACAUCAUUAGAGAGAAAAGAUUUGAACAUCUUUCCUUUGGCUAGGACCCUGUGUAAACAAACAGAGGCCAUCUUGACAUCUUUCUAGCUUAUUUUCAGCAGCUAAAAAUCCAAAAACAAAUUCAUGGAUAUGAAUCCUAAGCAGGAACACAUACUUUACAUUGACAGAGGCAAGGGUUUACAGCCUGUCCUAUCAAUAAGUAUUUCCCUCUGGCUGCUUAGGCAACAAUGUAGUGGUUAACAUUUGGAAAUCUCUUGCUUUAGAGUAAGAAGCUCUCCUGGAGAUCCCAGAACUGGGCUUCAAAGCACAAAUCUUAGUCUGUUCUUUGCAGAGCAUUACAUUGUGGCAACAGGCAAACAGGUUAUAAUAUUUGGAAGGUACAGGGAUUCAAGUACAAAUACAUUAUUUACUAAGAGACAGCAAUAUAACAAACACUAACCGAGCAAAAGGUAGAGAUAGGUCCCAGACAUGCAUGCCAUCUAAUUUGGAUAAAGCUACGUGAUGUUGCAUUGAACGCUCCAGGAAUAUUUAGAAGUCAGGCAUAAUCAAAAGUCUUUGUUCAUAAUCACAUCUUAA
This 1881-nucleotide long non-coding RNA is filed under the name Gallus gallus (chicken). The record is from RNAcentral. Lineage: Eukaryota; Metazoa; Chordata; Aves; Galliformes; Phasianidae.